GGAUCUUUAGCUCAAAUGGUAGAGCACUUGAGAAUGGCUCAAGCGAUGGUGAUUCAAAUCCUCCAAGGUCCU
This 72-nucleotide transfer RNA is filed under the name Thalictrum thalictroides. RNAcentral's name for it is "tRNA-His". It matches the Rfam family "tRNA". From Rfam's summary of the family: Transfer RNA (tRNA) molecules are approximately 80 nucleotides in length. Their secondary structure includes four short double-helical elements and three loops (D, anti-codon, and T loops). Lineage: Eukaryota; Viridiplantae; Streptophyta; Magnoliopsida; Ranunculales; Ranunculaceae. The record is from RNAcentral.